This 381-nucleotide ribosomal RNA is filed under the name Blastocystis hominis. Its description in RNAcentral is "SSU rRNA". It matches the Rfam family "Eukaryotic small subunit ribosomal RNA", at positions 545 to 936 of the family's 1831-position model. The record is from RNAcentral. Lineage: Eukaryota; Bigyra; Opalinata; Blastocystidae.
CCAUUGGAGGGCAAGUCUGGUGCCAGCAGCCGCGGUAAUUCCAGCUCCAAUAGCGUAUAUUAACGUUGUUGCAGUUAAAAAGCUCGUAGUUGAAGUGUGGGUGAUCGCUAUUGUGAGACUUCGGUCUCUCGACAGUAAGUCACCCCCUUCCAGUAUCCAGUAGUGGGUAUUCACUUACUUACUAUUGUGUGUUGGUCCUUUACUGUGAGAAAAUUAGAGUGUUCAAAGCAGGCGUUUGCUUGAAUAGAUUAGCAUGGAAUAAUAAUUGAAGGCUUUCGUGUUCGAUUUGAUUGGUUUGUUCAUGGAAGCAAGGUUAAAAGGAACAGUUGGGGGUAUUCAUAUUCACUAGUUAGAGGUGAAAUUCUCGGAUUUAUGGAAGAU